This 390-nucleotide ribosomal RNA is filed under the name uncultured bacterium. Its description in RNAcentral is "bacterial SSU rRNA". It matches the Rfam family "Bacterial small subunit ribosomal RNA", at positions 28 to 409 of the family's 1533-position model. The record is from RNAcentral.
GACGAACGCUGGCGGCGUGCUUAACACAUGCAAGUCGAACGAGAAGGCGUAGCAAUACGCUUGUACAGUGGCGAACGGGUGAGUAAUACGUGGGCGACCUACCCUCGAGUGGGGAAUAACCCGCCGAAAGGCGGGCUAAAUGCCGCGUACGCUUCCAUCUUUAUGGAGGUGGAAGGAAAGCCGUGCCGUGGGCACGGCGCUCAAGGAUGGGCUCACGUCCUAUCAGCUUGUUGGUAGGGAACGGCCUACCAAGGCUCCGACGGGUAGCUGGUCUGAGAGGACGAUCAGCCACACUGGCACUGCGACACGGGCCAGACUCCUACGGGGAGGCAGCAGUGAGGANAUUGCGCAAUGGGCGAAAGCCUGACGCAGCGACGCCGCGUGGGGGAU